AUGCUAGUAGUUCAAUAGGAUAGAGCAUCAGACUGCGAACCUGAAAGUUGAAAGUUCGAAUCUUUCCUAGCAUA
Molecule: transfer RNA, 74 nt
Filed under: Mesostigma viride
Lineage: Eukaryota; Viridiplantae; Streptophyta; Mesostigmatophyceae; Mesostigmatales; Mesostigmataceae
Description: tRNA-Arg
Rfam family: tRNA
About the family: Transfer RNA (tRNA) molecules are approximately 80 nucleotides in length. Their secondary structure includes four short double-helical elements and three loops (D, anti-codon, and T loops).
Source: RNAcentral